This 217-nucleotide non-coding RNA is filed under the name Coprobacillus sp. Its description in RNAcentral is "T-box sequence". It matches the Rfam family "T-box leader". Rfam says of the family: Uncharged tRNA acts as the effector for transcription antitermination of genes in the T-box leader family. The record is from RNAcentral. Lineage: Bacteria; Bacillati; Bacillota; Erysipelotrichia; Erysipelotrichales; Coprobacillaceae.
UUAUAUGCUAUGAAAGUAAGAGUAAAAUAACAUUCUUUUCUCAGAGAGAUAGUGUUUGGUGAAAACUAUUAUUAGAAUUUAUUUGAAAAACAUACUGGAGCUGUUGGAAGAAAAAUAGUAGACCCAACCGUUUAGUCUCGUUAUCGACAAUUGAGAGCAAUUUAGAAUUUACUUCUAGAUUGAAUUAAGGUGGCACCGCGGAAUAUUCGUCCUUAAG